CAAGACCUGCGCUUUUGGAGCGGCCGAUGCCUGAUUAGCUUGUUGGUAAGGUAAAAGCUUACCAAGGCUUCGAUCAGUAGCUGGUCUGAGAGGACGACCAGCCACACUGGGACUGAGACACGGCCCAGACUCCUACGGGAGGCAGCAGUGGGGAAUUUUGGACAAUGGGGGCAACCCUGAUCCAGCCAUGCCGCGUGAGUGAAGAAGGCCUUCGGGUUGUAAAGCUCUUUCAGCCAGAACGAAACGGUUACGGAUAACACCCGUGACUACUGACGGUACCGGAAGAAGAAGCACCGGCUAACUACGUGCCAGCAGCCGCGGUAAUACGUAGGGUGCGAGCGUUAAUCGGAAUUACUGGGCGUAAAGCGUGCGCAGGUGGUUUUGUAAGUCAGAUGUGAAAGCCCCGGGCUCAACCUGGGAACU
This 423-nucleotide ribosomal RNA is filed under the name uncultured bacterium. Its description in RNAcentral is "bacterial SSU rRNA". It matches the Rfam family "Bacterial small subunit ribosomal RNA", at positions 207 to 622 of the family's 1533-position model. The record is from RNAcentral.